RNAcentral lists this ribosomal RNA (253 nucleotides) under uncultured bacterium. RNAcentral's name for it is "partial 16S ribosomal RNA". It matches the Rfam family "Bacterial small subunit ribosomal RNA", at positions 524 to 776 of the family's 1533-position model. The record is from RNAcentral.
GACGGAGGGUGCAAGCGUUGUUCGGAAUUACUGGGCGUAAAGGGCGCGUAGGCGGUCUGUUAAGUUCGGUGUGAAAGCCCCCGGCUCACCUGGGGAACUGCGUCGGAAACCGACAGACUCGAGUACCGGAGAGGAGGGUGGAAUUCCUGGUGUAGCGGUGAAAUGCGUAGAUAUCAGGAGGAACACCAAUAGCGAAGGCAGCUCGCUGGGACGGUACUGACGCUAAGGCGCGAAAGCGUGGGGAGCGAACAGG